Molecule: ribosomal RNA, 333 nt
Filed under: Triticum aestivum (bread wheat)
Lineage: Eukaryota; Viridiplantae; Streptophyta; Magnoliopsida; Poales; Poaceae
Description: partial small subunit ribosomal RNA
Source: RNAcentral
AUGUUUGUUUGGACACAUCCAUGUGAAAGUUGGUUUGAAACCAUGGUUUUCUUGCACAGGGAACUGAAUUUCUUAUGCUUUUACUUGAUCUUCCUUCUCAAAAUCAUGGAGUUUUUUUUACUUGAUUUGGGAGAUUUAGAGGGAAAGGGCAAGGGAGAUAGUCAACAAGGUUUGCACAUGGGAGAGGAGAAGGAUUUCUUACCUUGGCGUUGCUUGGUAAGCUUCUCUUCUCUUCUUCCUGUUUUUCUGACCAAGAUCUCCUCACCUUGGUUGCUUUGCCAUGGCAGCUCUACAGGAUCUGGUUCAUGGCAUUGGAUCUGGUUUCUUUCAUGA